This 301-nucleotide ribosomal RNA is filed under the name uncultured bacterium. RNAcentral describes it as "partial 16S ribosomal RNA". It matches the Rfam family "Bacterial small subunit ribosomal RNA", at positions 509 to 807 of the family's 1533-position model. The record is from RNAcentral.
CAGCAGCCACGGUAAUACGAAGGGGGCUAGCGUUGCUCGGAAUUACUGGGCGUAAAGGGCGCGUAGGCGGACAGUUCAGUCGGGGGUGAAAGCCCGGGGCUCAACCUCGGAAUUGCCUUCGAUACUGGCUGUCUUGAGUAUGAGAGAGGUGUGUGGAACUCCGAGUGUAGAGGUGAAAUUCGUAGAUAUUCGGAAGAACACCAGUGGCGAAGGCGACACACUGGCUCAUUACUGACGCUGAGGCGCGAAAGCGUGGGGAGCAAACAGGAUUAGAUACCCCCGUAGUCCCUGUCUCUUAUAC